This 438-nucleotide ribosomal RNA is filed under the name Triticum aestivum (bread wheat). Its description in RNAcentral is "partial small subunit ribosomal RNA". The record is from RNAcentral. Lineage: Eukaryota; Viridiplantae; Streptophyta; Magnoliopsida; Poales; Poaceae.
AUGACACACUUGGAAAAUAUUUUAACACUAGGAAAGGGAGUGCCAGAAAUCUUGAGUUUAUUUUGUGCAUUUUUAACGUCUAUUAUUGGUUUGAAGAUUAAUUUGCACAAGAGUGAGGUCACUUGUUUUGGUACAGCUGUAGACAGGCAGGAUAUCUAUGCUCAUAUCUUUACCUGCAAUGUCGGUAGCAGGUUGGUACUCAUAGAAGUUGCUUUAAGUAAUGUUCCAAGUUAUAUGCUCUCUUUUCUUAGAAUUCCCGUAGGGGUGACUAGGCGGUUUGAUUAUUAUUUUUUUCGAGCUAGAAUGUUGUGGCAAGUGAAACAGGGGGUGAAACAAUACCACCUGGUUCGAUGGCCUGACGUUUUUCAACCUAGAGAACAAGAGGGGUUGGGUUUCACUGGUUUGCAGAUUAAAAAUAUUAGUCUCUUGUGCAAGUGA